AUGCGUAAUGGGAGCAGCUCAUCUUGCUCUUCUUCUCCGGUGGGGUUGCACCUGCAGCAAGUGUUUGGCUCGCAGGCUCCUCAUGGCCGGCAGCUUGGUAGCAGCUCCUCCUACUGCCCUCGUCCCAUGGCGGAGCUGCUGCAGGUGACGUGGCUGCCCGCGUCCGGCGGUGGCGGCCCCGGCGGUCUCCUCCACGCCUUGGCCUCUCUCAGCUUUCUGCUCCUCCUCGCCUACCUCUCGCUCUUCCUCCUCGCCAAGCUCUUCGCCCGACUCCACCGCGCAAGGGAGCGCCGUGGCCGUGACAACCGUGCGGAGAGUAACCCCGGGAAGGAGGACGUGGCCGCCGCCGACGACAUCCACCUCGCCGGAGGGGAGCGGCAGGCGGGGGGCACGCUGUUCUGGUUCGACGAGGCCGUGUUCGAGGACACCGCCCUGCUUGGCCUUGGCGACGAAGCAAAGAAUCACCUUUUGUACACUGGUGCUGGUGGUACGGCUGCGCAACAUUGCUUGGAGGUGGCGGAGACCAGCUGCGCCUUUCACACGGCCCCGCCGGAAUCCACCAACCGCGUCUCAUUCGCGCCGCGCGAGGAGGAGGACCACCGCGCCGAAAGUGAUGCCGCCACUGCCGGUGCCACCGCCACCGCGGCCCAGGAGCAGGAAGAGGCCAGGGUUGACGUGGCCGUCUCCGUAGCCGACGACGGCGUCCCCAUGGCGGCUGAUGGGUAUCGGCAGAAUGGUCCGGUCGCCGCGUCGUCGUCACUACCGAAGAAUGAUUCCGUUCAAGGCAAUCUCCUAGAGAGGCAACGAAGCAGAGGAGGAGGAGAAGGUCGCCGCGACGGUGAUCAUCGUGAAGACGGGCAUGGAGUAGAAGAAGAGCCGGGGGAGGAGGAGGAGAAGGCCGCGGGCUUUCCGGACGUGAAGCGGCUGGUGAACAGCCACGCGCUGGCCGACACGAAGAAGCUGCAGCUGGACGGCGGCGCGCGGCUGCGGCCGCGGCGAGAGGAGGAGGACGGGGACAGCUGCCGGUUCGGCGCGUCGACGCUGACGAGCGAGUCGACGUCCAAGAGCUCGGUGGAGUGGCAGAGCUCGACGGUGACGACCGGCAAGGACGCCUACUCGGACCUCUUCUCGUCGUCGUCGCGCCGGAGCUCGGCGAGGUGGGAGUCCUACACGCUCUUCCGCAAGUACGACGAGGACAUGGUCUACUUCCACCGCGUCGGCGCCCAGAAGCUCACCGAGACAGAGUCGUUCAGGUCGAUCAAGUGCCAGCCGCGGUCGAUGUCGCAGCGGAUCACGCACAAGCUGUCCAUGGCGGCGCCGAGGCCGAGGCCCGCGUCGGCGGAGGCGCCGGCGAUAGGGCUGCGCGACCCGUACCCGGAGCUGGAGCGGGUGUACGUGGCCCAGAUCUGCCUCACUUGGGAGGCCCUCAACUGGAACUACACCACCUUCCGCCGCCACAACGGCGGCGUCGUCGGCGGCACCAUGAUGCUGGAGGAGCGGUGCUGCCCGGCGCGCGUGGCGCAGGAGUUCCAGCAGUUCCAGGUGCUGCUCUACCGGUUCAUGGAGAACGAGCCCUUCGAGCACGGUCGCCGGCCCGAGGUGUACGCCCGGAUGAAGAACUCCUCCCCGAAGCUGCUCCUCGUCCCAGAGUUCAGAGAGGAGGAGGACGAGAAGGACGACCUGAUAUCGGCGGUGCAGUUCCUGCACAUCCUGGAGGAGUCCAUCCGGACGUUCAUGGCGUUCCUCCGCGCCGACAAGCGUAGCCACUACCAGAUGUUCAGGGAGAUGGUCCGGCGGAGGACGAGCGCCGCCGACCAGUCGAUCGUCAUCACCCUCAAGAGAACCAACAAGGCCAAGAAGAGCCGUCUCAAGGACCUGAGCCGGCCGCGGCGGUGCCUGAAGCGGAUCAAGCUGCGGGAGCAGGAGGAGGUGGCGGUGCUGCUGGGUCUCAUCGACCUCAAGGUGGUGGCCCGGGUGCUGCGCAUGCCGGAGAUCACGGAGCAGCAGCUGCACUGGUGCGAGGAGAAGAUGGGCCGGCUCCGUGUCGACCCGCAGCAGGGCACCAUGGAGCGAGACCCCUCACCCCUCUUCUUCCCCGCGCACUGA
RNAcentral lists this ribosomal RNA (2106 nucleotides) under Triticum aestivum (bread wheat). Its description in RNAcentral is "partial small subunit ribosomal RNA". The record is from RNAcentral. Lineage: Eukaryota; Viridiplantae; Streptophyta; Magnoliopsida; Poales; Poaceae.